AUACGGAGGGUGCAAGCGUUAAUCGGAAUUACUGGGCGUAAAGCGCGCGUAGGCGGCUGAUUAAGUCGGAUGUGAAAUUCCUGGGCUCAACCUAGGAACUGCAUCCGAUACUGGUCAGCUAGAGUUUUGGAGAGGUAAGUGGAAUUUCCGGUGUAGCGGUGAAAUGCAUAGAGAUCGGAAGGAACACCAGUGGCGAAGGCGACUUACUGGCCAAAAACUGACGCUGAGGUGCGAAAGCGUGGGUAGCAAACGGGAUUAGAAACCCUAGUAGUCC
Molecule: ribosomal RNA, 274 nt
Filed under: uncultured bacterium
Lineage: Bacteria
Description: partial 16S ribosomal RNA
Rfam family: Bacterial small subunit ribosomal RNA
Source: RNAcentral